This 298-nucleotide ribosomal RNA is filed under the name uncultured eukaryote. RNAcentral describes it as "partial 18S ribosomal RNA". It matches the Rfam family "Eukaryotic small subunit ribosomal RNA", at positions 1470 to 1796 of the family's 1831-position model. The record is from RNAcentral.
CCCUUAGAUGUUCUGGGCUACACGCGCGCUACAAUGUCAUGAAAACCGGGAUGCUUUAACGAAAUUUAUUGCGAAACCCCAACUCAUGACGCGACUGGGAUUGACGUUUUUAAUUAUUCGUCAUGAACGAGGAAUUCCUAGUAAACGCGAAUCAUCAGUUCGUGUUGAUUAUGUCCCUGCCCUUUGUACACACCGCCCGUCGCUCCUACCGAUUGAGCGUUUUGGUGAGCACUCUGGAGUGCAGCAAUGCAUAAAUGAAUGCAAACCUGAGCGUUUAGAGGAAGGAUAAGUCGUAACA